This 279-nucleotide ribosomal RNA is filed under the name uncultured bacterium. RNAcentral's name for it is "partial 16S ribosomal RNA". It matches the Rfam family "Bacterial small subunit ribosomal RNA", at positions 30 to 309 of the family's 1533-position model. The record is from RNAcentral.
AGCGAACGCUGGCGGCAUGCCUUACACAUGCAAGUCGAGCGCGAAAGGGGGCAACCCCGAGUAGAGCGGCGGACGGGUGAGUAACGCAUCGGAACGUGCCCAGUAGUGGGGGACAACCUCGAGAAAUCGAGGCGUAAUACCGCAUACGACCCACGGGUGAAAGCGGGGGACCGCAAGGCCUCGCGCUAUUAGGAGGCGGCCGAUGUCCGAUUAGCUAGUUGGCGGGGUAAGAGCCCACCAAGGCGACGAUCGGUAGCUGGUCUGAGAGGAUGAUCAGCC